RNAcentral lists this ribosomal RNA (274 nucleotides) under uncultured bacterium. RNAcentral's name for it is "partial 16S ribosomal RNA". It matches the Rfam family "Bacterial small subunit ribosomal RNA", at positions 523 to 796 of the family's 1533-position model. The record is from RNAcentral.
AUACGGAGGGGGCUAGCGUUGUUCGGAAUUACUGGGCGUAAAGCGCGCGUAGGCGGCGCAUUUAGUCGGGCGUGAAAGCCCGGGGCUCAACCCCGGAAUUGCGCUCGAUACUGAUGUGCUGGAGGACGGGAGAGGAGAGUGGAAUUCCCAGUGUAGAGGUGAAAUUCGUAGAUAUUGGGAAGAACACCGGUGGCGAAGGCGGCUCUCUGGCCCGAUCCUGACGCUGAGGUGCGAAAGCGUGGGGAGCAAACAGGAUUAGAAACCCCAGUAGUCC